CUACUAAUGAUUAAAAUAUCAAGACAAUUACGGAUCAAGAAUUUUAAUUUAGCAAUAAAAUUUAUUCAAGUCCUAUCUAAUUGGCCACUCAAAUAAAACAAGAAUAAACCAUGAACAUUAAUUAUAGAAGAACAUAAACAAUCUCAAUUAAAUAAAUUGAAUGAUAGAAUUUAAAUUUAAUUGCAUAGCAUGUUUAGGGUUUUGAAUUCACCCUCAACCAAAUAAAAAUUUAGCCUAACAUAAUUGAAUUGGGAAUAAGAAAAUUGAUAAAACCAGUCAUGAAAAUUAAUUCAAGCGGCUGCCUUUUUCUUCAAUUGAAUUCCGGCUGCUGAUUUUUUUCUUCUUCUUGCCGAAUUGGAUCAGCCCCUGCUCUCUCUCUCUCUUGUUGCCCGAAUUCUCCUCUUCUCUUUAUUGCUUCCGCUUGAUCCUAUUUAUAAUGCUUCAAUUGUGGCUUUGUUUAAAUCCUUGCCUGGAGAGAAUUAAAUUCCAAGCUCAAAACCGCCACCUCAUGCUUCAAUUAAUAAGCCAAUAAUGAUUUCCUAAAGACAAAAGGCUUUAUUCUCUUUCCUUUCACGUGUCCACUUUUGGUUUGCAAUCUUUGUUUUCCAAUUUUGCUUUCAUGUGAUGGCUUGGCUUGUUAAUUGGCUUGGCUUCCUUUUUCUUCAAUUCCUUUUCGGUUUCUCCCUUGCUUUUCCUUCUUCCGGCUGCUAGUUCCUCAAAAUCAAAAGCCAAAAGUUGGCUUUUAUACUGCCCAAGAUUGGCCGUAUUUUAAAGCAAUUAAUUUGUUUCCUUUAAUUGCCAUGCACAUGCCAUUUCAAUUCUUUAUUUCCAAUGCUUUGUCCACCACUUGUUUAGGCAAUUCACGUGCAUGAAAUAUGGCCAUUUCCUUUUUCUUCUUUGUUCAAUUUGCUUCCCAUAUUAACCAAUGAGCAAGCCAAAGCCACUUUAAUGCUUG
RNAcentral lists this long non-coding RNA (955 nucleotides) under Citrus sinensis (sweet orange). RNAcentral describes it as "long non-coding RNA (CSIN_LNC003464)". Lineage: Eukaryota; Viridiplantae; Streptophyta; Magnoliopsida; Sapindales; Rutaceae. The record is from RNAcentral.